This 174-nucleotide ribosomal RNA is filed under the name uncultured bacterium. Its description in RNAcentral is "partial 16S ribosomal RNA". It matches the Rfam family "Bacterial small subunit ribosomal RNA", at positions 338 to 524 of the family's 1533-position model. The record is from RNAcentral.
CCUACGGGAGGCAGCAGUGGGGAAUUUUGCACAAUGGGCGCAAGCCUGAUGCAGCGACGCCGCGUGAGGGAUGACGGCCUUCGGGUUGUAAACCUCUUUCAGUAGGGAAGAAUCGAAAGUGACGGUACCUGCACAAUAAGCGCCGGCUAACUACGUGCCAGCAGCCGCGGUAAU